GAGAGAGAGAGAGAGAGAGAGAGAGAGAGAGAGAGAGAGAGAGAGAGAGUUACUGUAGUGUGCCUGUUUAGACUCAGGGCUCUGCAGUCUUUAUUGAAUGUUCAAGACUCCACAUCAGUGGUCCUAUCUACUGUCCACAUCCCACCAACGGCCAUCACAGUGCUGUGAUCACACACACACACACACACACACACACACACACACACACACACACACACACACACACACACACACACACACAGCCCCGUGGAGCCCUGGGAAGCAUCCCAAGUGUCACUGUGGUGGGUGACAUAACCAGAUGGUGAUGUAAUAACAUGGGGGACCACAGUAUCAACAGUAACCCCCCAACACCUUGGUGCUGCUGAAGCAGUGUGUGUUUGUGUUUUACAGUGUGUUGGUAUGCCUUGUGCUGUAUACUAAACUCCGUCAGUGAAGCCCUUUUAUAAGGAUCACACAGCAGGGCCAACAGUAUCCCUCUCUCUCAACCCUGACGGGCUGAAAACUUUUCAUCUACGCUGCUAUGUUUAGCGUGUCCAUGAUGCUAUUUUUAGCGUGUCCUUUGUCAAUGUGGAACACAUUAGAGGAAUGCAUAAGAUGUUGAGAUUCAGGCUCUCUUUGUAUAGAAACGUAAAGUGCUUCAGAGGGCUAGCAUAACAGAACAGGGUAGAACAGGACAGAACAGGACAGGACAGAACAGGUCAGGACAGGACAGGACAGGAAAGAACAGAACAGAACAGGACAGAACAGGACAGAACAGAACAGGUCAGGACUAAACAGGUCAGGACAGGACAGGAAAGAACAGGACAGAACAGAACAGGUCAGGACAGAACAGAAAAGGACAAAACAGCCAGAACAAGUCCGGACAGAACAGAACAGAACAGAACAGGGCAGAACAGGACAGAACAGAACAGAACAGGGCAGAACAGGACAGAACAGAACAGGACAGGUCAGGACAGGACAGAACAGAACAGGACAGGUCAGGACAGGACAGAACAGAAAAGGACAGAACAGCCAGAACAAGACAGGACAGAACAGAAAUGGAUCAAACAGGGCAGAACAGAACAGAACAGGACAAAACAAAACAAAACAGAACUGAACAGGCCAGAACAGGCCAGAACAGAACAGGCCAGAACAGAACAGAACAGAACAGGACAGGACAGAACAGGUCAGGCCAGGACAGAAUAGAACAAGACAGGUCAGGACAGAACAGGACAGGACAAAACAGGUCAGGACAGGUUAGAACAGGACAGUACAGAACAGAACAGGACAGGACAAAACAGGUCAGGACAGGUCAGGACAGGUCAGAACAGGACAGUACAGAACAGGACAGGACAAAACAGGUCAGGACAGGUCAGGACAGGUCAGAACAGGUCAGGACAGAAUAGAACAAGACAGGUCAGGACAGAACAGGACAGGACAAAACAGGUCAGGACAGGUUAGAACAGGACAGUACAGAACAGGACAGGACAGGACAAAACAGGUCAGGACAGGACAGGACAGAACAGAACAGGAAAGAACAGGACAGGACAGGACAGGUCAGGACAGAACAGAACAGGACAGAACAGGUAGGAACAGGACAGGUCAGGUCAGGACAGAACAGGGCAGAACAGGAAAGAAAAGGUCAGAACAGGAUAGAACAGGUCAGGACAGGAUAGAACAGGUCAGGACAGGAUAGAACAGGACAGAACAGGACAAGAUAGAACAGGACAGAACAGGAAGGAACAGGUCAGGACAGGACAGAACAGGACAGAACAGGUCAAGAUAGAACAGGACAAGAUAGAACAGGACAGAACAGGACAAGAUAGAACAGGACAGAACAGGAUAGGCUUUACUCAGGGAGACUUCUACAGACUGAGAUGUUUCCGGAAUUGUUUGUCAGUUAAGUGGUUUUAAAUAGUUGGAGGAAAGGAAGCCACGGAAUAAUUUGGUCUUCAACAAAUAGCCCAACGAUAUAGGAAGAGAACUGAACUGAACAGAACAGGACAGAACAGAACAGGACAGAACAGAACAGGUCAGGACAGAACAGCAAAGGAAAGAACAGGAAAGGUCAGAACAGAACAGAACAGGACAGAACAGGACAGGACAGAACAUGACAGGUCAGGACAGGACAGAACAGGUCAGGACAGGACAGAACAGGACAGAACAGGACAGAACAGAACAGGACAGGACAGGACAGAACAGGUCAGGACAGGACAGAACAGGUGAGGCCAGAACAGAACAGAACAGGACAGAACAGGACAGAACAGGUCAGAACACGACAGGCCAGAACAGGUCAGGCCAGACUGGACAGAACAGGACAGGACAGGUCAGGUCAGGAUAGAACAGAACAGGACAGAACAGAACAGAACAGGACAGAACAGGAAAGUACAGGACAGAACAGAACAGAACAGGACAGGAUAGAGCAGAACAGAACAUAAUUGGACAGGACAUGACAAAACAGAACAGAACAGGACAGAGCAGAACAGAACAGGAAAGAAAGGGCAGAACACAACAGGACAGAACAGGACAGGACAGGUCAGGUCAGGACAGGACAAACAGGACAGGACAGAACAGAACAGGACAGAACAGAUCAGGUCAGGACAGAACAGAACAGGACAGAACAGGUCAGGUCAGGACAGAAGAGAACAGGACAGGACAGGACAGAACAGAACAGGACAGAACAGGAAAGAACAGGUCAGAACACAACAGGACAGAACAGGAUAGGUCAGGACAGAACAGAACAGAACAGGACAGGGACAAAACAGAACAGAACAGGAUAGAGCAGAACAGAACAUAAUUGGACAGGACAAAACAGAACAGGACAGAGCAGAACAGAACAGAUUUGGACAGAACAGGGCAGAACAGGACAGAAAAGAACAGAACAGGACCGGCUCGAACAGGACAGAACAGAAGUGUACUGAACGGUCUAAUUAAUAUUCACUUUGACCUGCAGUGACAAGGGUUUUGACCUCUGACCUCCACUAAUAUCUAAUAUGCCCUCCACAUGUCACUUUCAUCCAUUGGAAGCAAUGACUUACAGUGAAUGUAUCCAUUUUUAGUUUGUGUAUGUGAACCCUGUGGGAAUUGAACCCAUGACCUUGGAGUUGCUUGUCCCACACUUUAAUCAGCAGAGCAACUGAGCAUCACAUGAUCCAGUCCCCCAUGCCCCAUCUGAGGGAACCAAACUCUCACUAUCUGUGUGCAGUUAAAGAUGUGUAAUACUUUAGUCCUUUAUGUCCACAGAAAUCAUACGCUGUGUGUAUGUGAAGUGUGUAAUAGAGACUAGAAUGUAUGUGUGUGCGUGUGUGCGUGUGUGUGUGUGUGUGUGUGUGUGUGUGUGUGUGUGUGUGUGUGUGUGUGUGUGCGUGCGUG
This 3351-nucleotide long non-coding RNA is filed under the name Salmo salar (Atlantic salmon). RNAcentral describes it as "lncRNA (ENSSSAG00000093233.1, ENSSSAG00000114624.1)". Lineage: Eukaryota; Metazoa; Chordata; Actinopteri; Salmoniformes; Salmonidae. The record is from RNAcentral.